GCAGUCGGGCGGUAACACAGAGGAGCUUGCUCCUUGGGUGACGAGCGGCGGACGGGUGAGUAAAGUCUGGGGAUCUGCCUGAUGGAGGGGGAUAACUACUGGAAACGGUAGCUAAUACCGCAUGACGUCUUCGGACCAAAGUGGGGGACCUUCGGGCCUCACGCCAUGAGAUGAACCCAGAUGGGAUUAGCUGGUAGGUGAGGUAACGGCUCACCUAGGCGACGAUCCCUAGCUGGUCUGAGAGGAUGACCAGCCACACUGGAACUGAGACACGGUCCAGACUCCUACGGGAGGCAGCAGUGGGGAAUAUUGCACAAUGGGGGAAACCCUGAUGCAGCCAUGCCGCGUGUGUGAAGAAGGCCUUCGGGUUGUAAAGCACUUUCAGCGGGGAGGAAGGCAAUAAACUUAAUAAGUUUGUUGAUUGACGUUACCCGCAGAAGAAGCACCGGCUAACUCCGUGCCAGCAGCCGCGGUAAUACGGAGGGUGCAAGCGUUAAUCGGAAUGACUGGGCGUAAAGCGCACGCAGGCGGUCUGUUAAGUUGGAUGUGAAAUCCCCGGGCUCAACCCGGGAACAGCAUUCAAAACUGACAGGCUAGAGUCUCGUAGAGGGGGGUAGAAUUCCAGGUGUAGCGGUGAAAUGCGUAGAGAUCUGGAGGAAUACCGGUGGCGAAGGCGGCCCCCUGGACGAAGACUGACGCUCAGGUGCGAAAGCGUGGGGAGCAAACAGGAUUAGAUACCCUGGUAGUCCACGCCGUAAACGAUGUCGACUUGGAGGCUGUGGUCUUGAACCGUGGCUUCCGGAGCUAACGCGUUAAGUCGACCGCCUGGGGAGUACGGCCGCAAGGUUAAAACUCAAAUGAAUUGACGGGGGCCCGCACAAGCGGUGGAGCAUGUGGUUUAAUUCGAUGCAACGCGAAGAACCUUACCUACUCUUGACAUCCAGAGAAGACUGUAGAGAUACGGUUGUGCCUUCGGGAGCUCUGAGACAGGUGCUGCAUGGCUGUCGUCAGCUCGUGUUGUGAAAUGUUGGGUUAAGUCCCGCAACGAGCGCAACCCUUAUCCUUUGUUGCCAGCGAUACGGUCGGGAACUCAAAGGAGACUGCCGGUGAUAAACCGGAGGAAGGUGGGGAUGACGUCAAGUCAUCAUGGCCCUUACGAGUAGGGCUACACACGUGCUACAAUGGCGCAUACAAAGAGAAGCGAGCCUGCGAGGGUGAGCGGACCUCAUAAAGUGCGUCGUAGUCCGGAUUGGAGUCUGCAACUCGACUCCAUGAAGUCGGAAUCGCUAGUAAUCGUAGAUCAGAAUGCUACGGUGAAUACGUUCCCGGGCCUUGUACACACCGCCCGUCACACCAUGGGAGUGGGUUGCAAAAGAAGUAG
RNAcentral lists this ribosomal RNA (1381 nucleotides) under Brenneria salicis. RNAcentral describes it as "bacterial SSU rRNA". It matches the Rfam family "Bacterial small subunit ribosomal RNA", at positions 57 to 1429 of the family's 1533-position model. The record is from RNAcentral. Lineage: Bacteria; Pseudomonadati; Pseudomonadota; Gammaproteobacteria; Enterobacterales; Pectobacteriaceae.